This 67-nucleotide transfer RNA is filed under the name Empoascanara gracilis. RNAcentral describes it as "tRNA-Phe". Lineage: Eukaryota; Metazoa; Arthropoda; Insecta; Hemiptera; Cicadellidae. The record is from RNAcentral.
AUUUUAGUAGCUUAAUUUUUAAGAGCUUUAUAUUGAAGAUAUAAGAGUAAGUUUUACUUCUAAAAUA